Molecule: ribosomal RNA, 372 nt
Filed under: uncultured organism
Description: bacterial SSU rRNA
Rfam family: Bacterial small subunit ribosomal RNA
Source: RNAcentral
CAGAGGGUGCAAGCGUUGUUCGGAAUUAUUGGGCGUAAAGCGCGUGUAGGCAGCUUAGCAAGUCGGGCGUGAAAGCCCUCGGCUCAACCGAGGAAGUGCACCCGAAACUGCUGAGCUUGAGUGCCGGAGAGGAUGGCGGAAUUCCCCAAGUAGAGGUGAAAUUCGUAGAUAUGGGGAGGAACACCGGUGGCGAAGGCGGCCAUCUGGACGGUAACUGACGCUGAGACGCGAAAGCGUGGGGAGCAAACAGGAUUAGAUACCCUGGUAGUCCACGCCGUAAACGAUGAGAACUAGAUGUCGCGGGUGUUGACCCCUGCGGUGUCGCAGCUAACGCAUUAAGUUCUCCGCCUGGGAAGUACGGUCGCAAGAUUA